GGAUAGUGGCGACGGGUGAGUAACACGUGAGCAAUCUGCCCCUGACUCUGGGAUAAGCGCUGGAAACGGCGUCUAAUACCGGAUACGAGCUGCGAUCGCAUGGUCAGUAGCUGGAAAGAAUUUCGGUCAGGGAUGAGCUCGCGGCCUAUCAGCUUGUUGGUGAGGUAAUGGCUCACCAAGGCGUCGACGGGUAGCCGGCCUGAGAGGGUGACCGGCCACACUGGGACUGAGACACGGCCCAGACUCCUACGGGAGGCAGCAGUGGGGAAUAUUGCACAAUGGGCGGAAGCCUGAUGCAGCAACGCCGCGUGAGGGAUGACGGCCUUCGGGUUGUAAACCUCUUUUAGCAGGGAAGAAGCGAAAGUGACGGUACCUGCAGAAAAAGCGCCGGCUAACUACGUGCCAGCAGCCGCGGUAAUACGUAGGGCGCAAGCGUUAUCCGGAAUUAUUGGGCGUAAAGAGCUCGUAGGCGGUCUGUCGCGUCUGCUGUGAAAACCCGAGGCUCAACCUCGGGCCUGCAGUGGGUACGGGCAGACUAGAGUGCGGUAGGGGAGAUUGGAAUUCCUGGUGUAGCGGUGGAAUGCGCAGAUAUCAGGAGGAACACCGAUGGCGAAGGCAGAUCUCUGGGCCGUAACUGACGCUGAGGAGCGAAAGGGUGGGGAGCAAACAGGCUUAGAUACCCUGGUAGUCCACCCCGUAAACGUUGGGAACUAGUUGUGGGGUCCAUUCCACGGAUUCCGUGACGCAGCUAACGCAUUAAGUUCCCCGCCUGGGGAGUACGGCCGCAAGGCUAAACUCAAAGGAAUUGACGGGGACCCGCACAGCGCGAGCAU
RNAcentral lists this ribosomal RNA (833 nucleotides) under Microbacterium sp. RNAcentral describes it as "bacterial SSU rRNA". It matches the Rfam family "Bacterial small subunit ribosomal RNA", at positions 90 to 937 of the family's 1533-position model. Lineage: Bacteria; Bacillati; Actinomycetota; Actinomycetes; Micrococcales; Microbacteriaceae. The record is from RNAcentral.